Molecule: transfer RNA, 64 nt
Filed under: Gehyra sp. MPH-2011
Lineage: Eukaryota; Metazoa; Chordata; Lepidosauria; Squamata; Gekkonidae
Description: tRNA-Cys
Source: RNAcentral
AGCCUGGGGGUGUAAUCACGUCAAAAUGCAAAUUUGGAGACGCACCCAAGAGGUGCCGGGGCUU